AUAAAAUUUUCUAUCAUUUUAUCUGUUAUAAUUUUUUAAAUUACAAAAAAAUUAAAAACAAAAGAAUUUUCAAUUGUUACAGCAAGUAUAGUUGUACUUUUCAAAUAAAAAAAAAUAAAAACAAAAGAAUUUUAAUUUAUAUUCUACAUCAGGUAUAGUUGUACUUUAUAUACAAAAUGCUUACAUGCAUGUUAAUUGAUGAGUAUAAUAAGCUAUACAUAGCAAAAAUUAAUAAUAACUUGCCUAAAUCUUUCAAAAUAACAUUAUAAAAGCUUACUGGAACCAAAAAAACUUAAAUAAAUUCGUGCCAAAGCGUGCCAGUAGGAGGUCGUGCGUAUCUGUCGGCACGCAAGCGUGCCACGUGUCGGCACGCAAGCGUGCCCGUGCCGUACCGUGCCAAGGACGUAGCGGCACGCCCCCGUGC
This 424-nucleotide long non-coding RNA is filed under the name Ananas comosus (pineapple). Its description in RNAcentral is "long non-coding RNA (ACOM_LNC043099)". The record is from RNAcentral. Lineage: Eukaryota; Viridiplantae; Streptophyta; Magnoliopsida; Poales; Bromeliaceae.